UCCUACGGGGGGCAGCAGUGGGGGAUAUUGCACAAUGGGGGAAACCCUGAUGCAGCGACGCCGCGUGAGUGAAGAAGUAUUUCGGUAUGUAAAGCUCUAUCAGCAGGGAAGAAAAUGACGGUACCUGACUAAGAAGCCCCGGCUAACUACGUGCCAGCAGCCGCGGUAAUACGUAGGGGGCAAGCGUUAUCCGGAUUUACUGGGUGUAAAGGGAGCGUAGACGGCAGAGCAAGUCUGAAGUGAAAACCCAAAGCUCAACUAUGGGAAUGCUUUAGAAACUGCUCGGCUAGAGUGCAGGAGAGGCA
Molecule: ribosomal RNA, 305 nt
Filed under: uncultured bacterium
Lineage: Bacteria
Description: bacterial SSU rRNA
Rfam family: Bacterial small subunit ribosomal RNA
Source: RNAcentral